AUCUGGUUCAGGAUGAACGCUAGCUACAGGCUUAACACAUGCAAGUCGAGGGCAGCAGGACGAUAGCUUGCUAUUGUCGCUGGCGACCGGCGCACGGGUGAGUAACGCGUAUCCAACCUUCCCUAUAGUAGAGAAUAGCCCGGCGAAAGUCGGAUUAAUGCUCUAUGUUUUCCAAUGCAGACAUCUAAAAUGGAACAAAGGUUCACCGCUAUAGGAUGGGGAUGCGUCUGAUUAGCUUGUCGGCGGGGUAACGGCCCACCGAGGCAACGAUCAGUAGGGGUUCUGAGAGGAAGGUCCCCCACAUUGGUACUGAGACACGGACCAAACUCCUACGGGAGGCAGCAGUGAGGAAUAUUGGUCAAUGGGCGUAAGCCUGAACCAGCCAAGUAGCGUGCCAGGAAGACUGCCCUAUGGGUUGUAAACUGCUUUUAUGCGGGAAUAAAGUCAGGUACGCGUACCUGUUUGUAUGUACCGCAUGAAUAAGGACCGGCUAAUUCCGUGCCAGCAGCGGC
This 512-nucleotide ribosomal RNA is filed under the name uncultured bacterium. RNAcentral describes it as "bacterial SSU rRNA". It matches the Rfam family "Bacterial small subunit ribosomal RNA", at positions 17 to 518 of the family's 1533-position model. The record is from RNAcentral.